UGGUGGAGAAGAGUGUGCAUCUCGAUGAGAAGAUGGUCCGUUGAUGUUGAUGGGUUUCGCGAUCUGGGUUCUGGAUUUGGCAGCGACGGGUUGUGCUCCUGCGAAGGAUGGUAUGCGAGGAAGAUGAUGGCGUCCGUGGAGGUUGCACGACAGCGUCUUUGUGGUGGCACGGUGGUCAGUCAAUGCGACAUGGUGGCUUGGCUAGGUUUCUUCUGAGUGUAAGUGGUAGUCGUCGUUGAUGGAGGAGAAGAUGAAGGCAGUGGUGCGACGACGAUUUGGACUGGUGCUUGCUCACCGAAGAUUGGGUGGUGGCGUGAAGCUUCGUGAUGGCCGGUGGGCAUGCCGACGAUGGUGGCUGGCAGCGGCUUGAAGGUUGACGGUGAUGCCUUUAGGGUAGCUGACGGCUAGGGUCUGGAUUGGGAAUUAGGGUUUCUGUUUGUUAGAGAUGGUGAUGACG
This 457-nucleotide long non-coding RNA is filed under the name Vigna radiata. Its description in RNAcentral is "long non-coding RNA (VRAD_LNC006381)". Lineage: Eukaryota; Viridiplantae; Streptophyta; Magnoliopsida; Fabales; Fabaceae. The record is from RNAcentral.